RNAcentral lists this ribosomal RNA (679 nucleotides) under uncultured beta proteobacterium. RNAcentral's name for it is "bacterial SSU rRNA". It matches the Rfam family "Bacterial small subunit ribosomal RNA", at positions 50 to 722 of the family's 1533-position model. Lineage: Bacteria; Pseudomonadati; Pseudomonadota; Betaproteobacteria. The record is from RNAcentral.
UACACAUGCAAGUCGAACGGCAGCACGGGUGCUUGCACCUGGUGGCGAGUGGCGAACGGGUGAGUAAUACAUCGGAACAUGUCCUGUAGUGGGGGAUAGCCCGGCGAAAGCCGGAUUAAUACCGCGUACGAUCUACGGAUGAAAGCGGGGGGCCUUCGGGCCUCGCGCUAUAGGGUUGGCCGAUGGCUGAUUAGCUAGUUGGUGGGGUAAAGGCCUACCAAGGCGACGAUCAGUAGCUGGUCUGAGAGGACGACCAGCCACACUGGGACUGAGACACGGCCCAGACUCCUACGGGAGGCAGCAGUGGGGAAUUUUGGACAAUGGGCGAAAGCCUGAUCCAGCAAUGCCGCGUGUGUGAAGAAGGCCUUCGGGUUGUAAAGCACUUUUGUCCGGAAAGAAAUCCUUGGUUCUAAUAUAGCCGGGGGAUGACGGUACCGGAAGAAUAAGCACCGGCUAACUACGUGCCGGCAGCCGCGGUAAUACGUAGGGUGCGAGCGUUAAUCGGAAUUACUGGGCGUAAAGCGUGCGCAGGCGGUUUGCUAAGACCGAUGUGAAAUCCCCGGGCUCAACCUGGGAACUGCAUUGGUGACUGGCAGGCUAGAGUAUGGCAGAGGGGGGUAGAAUUCCACGUGUAGCAGUGAAAUGCGUAGAGAUGUGGAGGAAUACCGAUGGCGAAGGC